RNAcentral lists this ribosomal RNA (207 nucleotides) under uncultured bacterium. RNAcentral's name for it is "partial 16S ribosomal RNA". It matches the Rfam family "Bacterial small subunit ribosomal RNA", at positions 568 to 774 of the family's 1533-position model. The record is from RNAcentral.
AGCGCAGACGGUUAUUUAAGCAAGAUGUGAAAGCCCCGGGCUCAACCUGGGAACUGCGUUUUGAACUGGGUAACUAGAGUGUGUCAGAGGGGGUAGAAUUCCACGUGUAGCAGUGAAAUGCGUAGAGAUGUGGAGGAAUACCGAUGGCGAAGGCAGCCCCCUGGGAUAACACUGACGUUCAUGCUCGAAAGCGUGGGUAAGCAAACA